This 634-nucleotide long non-coding RNA is filed under the name Carica papaya (papaya). RNAcentral's name for it is "long non-coding RNA (CPAP_LNC009001)". The record is from RNAcentral. Lineage: Eukaryota; Viridiplantae; Streptophyta; Magnoliopsida; Brassicales; Caricaceae.
UAGGUACCAUGAUUCUUCUUUUGAGGUCUCCAAGUCCAUCUUCUUGAAAGUUCUUAGACUAUUCUUGAUAUUGGGAUAAUGCAGGAAUCUUUCUUGGGUUAAAAAUAUCAAUCUCCUCUUUAGAAGACUUGUGGGAGUUCAUGUGGGAAAAGGAUUUCUCUUUCCUACAGGGAAUAUACCUUUUCCAUUGGCGCGGGCUUCUUCUUGCUUCGCAAGCAUGCGCAUGCUGUGACAUUUCAAAUGCUAAUUAAGAUAUAAGGGCACCAUAUACAGAAAUAGAUUAUAAGUGCAUAGUAAUUAAUUGUAUGCAGUGAAAUAAUUUACUACAAAUCUCUUACAAAAUAUAUGAGUUCCAAUUACAUAUAUAACUGAGGCCAGAAGUGGCAACAAAAUACAAAUAUCGAAACACAAAAAAGGGUCACUUCAUUCAUUAUGUAAAAAAACUCAUCAGAGUGCAGGACAAGUUAUGCACUCAAAAUAGUUUACGGAUCUCUUGUCCUGCACUCAAAAUAGUUUACGGAUCUACGAGAUCCUUAAAGACUUCAAGGGGUAAGUUAGUGAUCGAUUCCUCACUAUCUUCCUCAUCUGGAGAGGAACAUGGAAAUGGGUGAGUUUCAUAUACUCAGUAAGAAAA